GAUGAACGCUGGCGGCGUGCCUAAUACAUGCAAGUCGAGCGAACGGAGGAGAAGCUUGCUUCUCUGAUGUUAGCGGCGGACGGGUGAGUAACACGUGGAUAACCUACCUAUAAGACUGGGAUAACUUCGGGAAACCGGAGCUAAUACCGGAUAAUAUUUUGAACCGCAUGGUUCAAAAGUGAAAGACGGUCUUGCUGUCACUUAUAGAUGGAUCCGCGCUGCAUUAGCUAGUUGGUAAGGUAACGGCUUACCAAGGCAACGAUGCAUAGCCGACCUGAGAGGGUGAUCGGCCACACUGGAACUGAGACACGGUCCAGACUCCUACGGGAGGCAGCAGUAGGGAAUCUUCCGCAAUGGGCGAAAGCCUGACGGAGCAACGCCGCGUGAGUGAUGAAGGUCUUCGGAUCGUAAAACUCUGUUAUUAGGGAAGAACAUAUGUGUAAGUAACUGUGCACAUCUUGACGGUACCUAAUCAGAAAGCCACGGCUAACUACGUG
RNAcentral lists this ribosomal RNA (497 nucleotides) under uncultured bacterium. RNAcentral describes it as "partial 16S ribosomal RNA". It matches the Rfam family "Bacterial small subunit ribosomal RNA", at positions 28 to 507 of the family's 1533-position model. The record is from RNAcentral.